This 425-nucleotide ribosomal RNA is filed under the name uncultured eukaryote. RNAcentral describes it as "SSU rRNA". It matches the Rfam family "Eukaryotic small subunit ribosomal RNA", at positions 483 to 916 of the family's 1831-position model. The record is from RNAcentral.
AUCAUGCGCUCUUUGAGUCUUGUAUUGGAAUGAGUACAAUUUAAAUACCUUAACGAGGAACAAUUGGAGGGCAAGUCUGGUGCCAGCAGCCGCGGUAAUUCCAGCUCCAAUAGCGUAUAUUAAAGUUGUUGCAGUUAAAAAGCUCGUAGUUGAAUUUCGAGUCCAGGUCAUGGGUCUCUCUAACGGGUUGUACUCUUGACUUGGAUUCCCACUUUUGGGGAUCCGGGCUGCUCUUUACUGGGUGGUCCGGAGAUCCAAGACUUUUACUUUGAAAAAAUUAGAGUGUUCAAAGCAGGCUUACGCUUGAAUACAUUAGCAUGGAAUAAUGGAAUAGGACCUUGGUUCUGUUUUGUUGGUUUAUAGAACCAAAGUAAUGAUUAAUAGGGACAGUUGGGGGCAUUAGUAUUUCAGGGCUAGAGGUGAAA